ACCUGCAGGAAAGUAGAGGACCGGAGUUGGAGAUCCCUGCUGUAGAGUUUACUGUGAGUUAUAAACCAGAUGUAUCAACUACUCACUCCAUGUGAUAUUUGCUCUCACAUGUGUGGGUGAUAUAUUUAAUUGGUUCAGUCAGGUGUAGUAAAAGUGCAUGAGGAUUUGAAUGAUGAGUUCAGGUACUAGUCAGCAGUCAUGAGCAGAUGAUCAUCUGAUGGGUUUAAGGAUAAGUCUGAAGAUAAAACUGUUGAAGGGCAGCUUUUCUUCUGAAAACAAGAGUGAGCUUUGGAUUCCUCCAUUAUUGUCCAAAAACACAAGCCCAGCUGGAGUUUACACUCCUGACUUUUUAACUGCAGAGGUUGGGAUGUCAGUUAUCAUAUUGGAUUGUGCCAAUGGACGAAGCAUUUAAAGAAUCUGUAAAUGAGUAUAUCUGCCAUCUACUACAAUGAACAGUCCUCUGAUGAUGGAUCAAAUGCCUGCUGAAGAGGACAGCCUGACCACUGUGAAUGUCCGGCCAAUAUUGUUGGACAAAUCAACUGUUCCCAGAGGACAGAUGCUGCCAGUGUGCCAAGAUCAAUUUCUUUUUCCCUCAUUUCAUUUUGUGGAAAAUGACUGGAUAAACCAACGUUCUGCAUUCAUAAACCUCACUUCACAUGCUUUCACUCCACCAACAAUCAGCCACACUUCACAACAGAUGGGACUAGACCCGUGCUUAAGCCAAAUGUCAUGUGAUGUCACUCCUGGCAAAAUGGAUCCUGUUGCUUUUCCAUCAGUUAAUUUAGCCCAAGACUACAGUCCGCCUGAACAGGAGUGUGCUGGAAGAAAUGUAAUCUUAUCACUAGAGAGUGAGACUGAUUCUGCCCUGAUUGGGCCACCUAACAGUACUGCAGGUGAAGAUUUUACAAACCAACUAUUCAUCCCGUUUUCUCAAUGUCUGAGUGCAACUUCAUAUUCGGUUGACCUCAAACCUGGAAAUGGAACUCAUCCAGUGUCAGACCCCAUGUCUUAUUCACUUGUCCAGGACAGUGACUGUCAGUAUGAUAUGGUUAGUACCUUAUGGCUGGAUCUGUUUUUGGAUAGCAGCGGUAACUUGUCCUUCCCUGAUGGUAAUCUUGUAGACACUGUUUUUUCACCUUAAAUGGACCCAUGCAGUUUAAGCGUUAUCAGUUGUAUGCUUAAU
Molecule: long non-coding RNA, 1183 nt
Organism: Melanotaenia boesemani (Boeseman's rainbowfish)
Lineage: Eukaryota; Metazoa; Chordata; Actinopteri; Atheriniformes; Melanotaeniidae
Exons: 3
Source: RefSeq, a predicted model, not a curated record